RNAcentral lists this ribosomal RNA (498 nucleotides) under uncultured bacterium. RNAcentral describes it as "partial 16S ribosomal RNA". It matches the Rfam family "Bacterial small subunit ribosomal RNA", at positions 28 to 507 of the family's 1533-position model. The record is from RNAcentral.
GACGAACGCUGGCGGCGUGCCUAAUACAUGCCAGUCGAGCGGACGGAUGGGAGCUUGCUCCCAGACCGUCAGCGGCGGACGGGUGAGUAACACGUGGGCAACCUGCCUGUAAGACUGGGAUAACUCCGGGAAACCGGGGCUAAUACCGGAUAACUCUUUCCCUCACAUGAGGGAAAGCUGAAAGAUGGCAUCUCGCUAUCACUUACAGAUGGGCCCGCGGCGCAUUAGCUAGUUGGUGAGGUAACGGCUCACCAAGGCGACGAUGCGUAGCCGACCUGAGAGGGUGAUCGGCCACACUGGGACGGAGACACGGCCCAGACUCCUACGGGAGGCAGCAGUAGGGAAUCUUCCGCAAUGGACGAAAGUCUGACGGAGCAACGCCGCGUGAGUGAUGAAGGUUUUCGGAUCGUAAAACUCUGUUGUCAGGGAAGAACAAGUACCGGAGUAACUGCCGGUACCUUGACGGUACCUGACCAGAAAGCCACGGCUAACUACGUG